Molecule: long non-coding RNA, 621 nt
Organism: Amphiprion ocellaris (clown anemonefish)
Lineage: Eukaryota; Metazoa; Chordata; Actinopteri; Pomacentridae
Source: Ensembl
UUUUCACAAGUUACAAUGUCGUAUUUUUCGUGUACUUGGGGUGAAUGUCUAUUUCUGUUCAAGAAUCCCUUUCGACGUGCGAAGCCUACUCCACCUCCGUCAUGCAGCCCCCAGCUCCCCUGCCUCCUCUCCAGCGCCAGCUUCAGCACCAGUACCAACUCGGACACCGACCCUGUCAACAUCAACCUCCAGCACGUCACAGCAACGUCUUAUCACUGGCAAGAGGAAAAGGGGCAACAGAAAAUUGGACCUUCCAAGUGUACUUGUGGAGAUGCGGGCUGAGAAGGAGCGGAACCGGCACCCAGCAUGAUGAGAACAUCUGGUUGCUCCUCAGCGAGGCAAGAGAGAAUGAAGCGGCCUUGCAGCGGGAGGAGAUGGUCCAGAAUGCUGCCUUCAACCAGUCAUUCCUGGGUGUACUGGGGCAGCUGGUGCAGGCAGUGCUGGGUGUACUGGGGCAGCUGGUGCAGGCAGUGGGCAGCCAGUGAGUCCACCUCCCAGAGACUUGAGAUUUAGUUGUAUAUAGUUUUACUUUUAGCCCUCCACUGUAGGAGAGGCCCACCACAGUUUGUACUUUGCACAUUGUAAAUAGUUUUGAUUUUGCUGCUGACUAAUAAACUAUUU